UCCGGUGACUAGCCUACGUCGAAACACGCGUUCCCAUCCCGAACACGACCGUUAAGCGACGUAGGGCCGAUGAUAGUGCCGCAAGGUGCGAAAGUAGGUUCUCGCCGGAC
This 110-nucleotide ribosomal RNA is filed under the name Planctomycetota bacterium. The record is from RNAcentral. Lineage: Bacteria; Pseudomonadati; Planctomycetota.